UGUAUUAACUUUGCUGUUAGGAAAGUACAGAGAUCUUUCUUUUGAAACAGUUUGUUCCCUGAAUGCUGUUCUCUGAUUGGUCUUAAAUUUAGUAGAUGGUGGCCUUGCACAGGAAUCUGAGUCCACAGAGGGUGAACAAGUAGAUGGUGGCCUUGCACAGGAAUCUGAGUCCACAGAGGGUGAACAAGUAGAUGGUGGCCUUGCACAGGAAUCUGAGUCCACAGAGGGUGAACAAGUAGAUGGUGGCCUUGCACAGGAAUCUGAGUCCACAGAGGGUGAACAAGUAGAUGGUGGCCUUGAACAGGCAUCUGAGUCCACAGAGGGUGAACAAGGUAGGAAGAUACUGUAUUUAUGGUCCGCAUAGUUUUGGCCAUGAAAUGAGUUGACAAUAAAAUAAAAACAAUAUUUUUUCACUUCUACAGUAUUAUUCGAA
Molecule: long non-coding RNA, 433 nt
Organism: Carassius gibelio (silver crucian carp)
Lineage: Eukaryota; Metazoa; Chordata; Actinopteri; Cypriniformes; Cyprinidae
Exons: 5
Source: RefSeq, a predicted model, not a curated record